UACGUAGGUGGCAAGCGUUAUCCGGAAUUAUUGGGCAUAAAGCGCGCGUAGGCGGUUUUUUAAGUCUGAUGUGAAAGCCCACGGCUCAACCGUGGAGGGUCAUUGGAAACUGGAAAACUUGAGUGCAGAAGAGGAAAGCGGAAUUCCAUGUGUAGCGGUGAAAUGCGCAGAGAUAUGGAGGAACACCAGUGGCGAAGGCGACUUUCUGGUCUGUAACUGACGCUGAUGUGCGAAAGCGUGGGGAUCAAACA
Molecule: ribosomal RNA, 251 nt
Filed under: uncultured Staphylococcus sp.
Lineage: Bacteria; Bacillati; Bacillota; Bacilli; Caryophanales; Staphylococcaceae
Description: partial 16S ribosomal RNA
Rfam family: Bacterial small subunit ribosomal RNA
Source: RNAcentral